AUUGAACGCUGGCGGCAUGCCUUACACAUGCAAGUCGAACGGCAGCACGGGAGCAAUCCUGGUGGCGAGUGGCGAACGGGUGAGUAAUGCAUAGGAAUCUGCCUAUUAGUGGGGGAUAACGUUCGGAAACGGACGCUAAUACCGCAUACGUCCUACGGGAGAAAGCAGGGGACCUUCGGGCCUUGCGCUAUCAGAUGAGCCUAGGUCGGAUUAGCUAGUUGGUGAGGUAAUGGCUCACCAAGGCGACGAUCCGUAACUGGUCUGAGAGGAUGAUCAGUCACACUGGAACUGAGACACGGUCCAGACUCCUACGGGAGGCAG
RNAcentral lists this ribosomal RNA (321 nucleotides) under uncultured Pseudomonadota bacterium. RNAcentral's name for it is "bacterial SSU rRNA". It matches the Rfam family "Bacterial small subunit ribosomal RNA", at positions 30 to 351 of the family's 1533-position model. The record is from RNAcentral. Lineage: Bacteria; Pseudomonadati; Pseudomonadota.